This 538-nucleotide unclassified non-coding RNA is filed under the name Hevea brasiliensis (rubber tree). Lineage: Eukaryota; Viridiplantae; Streptophyta; Magnoliopsida; Malpighiales; Euphorbiaceae. The record is from RNAcentral.
GCAAUAUCAGAACCUUUUAAUUGGGCACUGUCUUCAACACAGAAUAUGCUACUAACAUGUAUGUUUCCCUGCUGCUUCAAAAGAAAACUGAUGCCAAAAGCCAAGUCCCCAAUAGGCCACUUGCCCAGGGUCUCCGAGUAAGUAAACCUAAGAGUCUCAGACAAUGUUGCGAUUGUUUCCAACCAUGUAGCAGGGGCCUGUAUAAGUCUAUUGGAAACCCUAUUAACUCCUAGCAGAGCAUGAUCUUGGCCGCUGCUGCCACAUUCAUCGUCGUCAUCAUCCGUUGUUGGAGAAGAUUGCAACUUCUUAUUUAAUGUAUAAUACAAUAGUGCUGCAGCACCUGCUGCAGUGGCGAGAGUUGCCGUCGCCAUCAGUUUCCGAAACCUGCGGAGAUCGAUUGUAGCAGAACAAAAUUGAAUCUUGGACUGAUUACUUCAAUUGUAAGGAACUCAAAGCUUGGAGAACAAAAGUAAAGUAUCGAAAUUUUGACAAAAUCCAAUAAAGUUGAUGGCUUAAAAUGGGAAGUGGACUAUCUCUG